UACCAUAGCCAAUGAGGGUUAUCCGAGGCGUGGUUAUUGCUAGUUGAAAAAAUAUAUAUAUAUAUAUAUACGAAUAUAUAUAUAUAUACAUAUAUACAUAUAUAUAUAUAUA
Octopus bimaculoides (California two-spot octopus) is the source of this 112-nucleotide non-coding RNA. Lineage: Eukaryota; Metazoa; Mollusca; Cephalopoda; Octopoda; Octopodidae. The record is from Rfam.